Long non-coding RNA from Ruditapes philippinarum (Manila clam), 514 nucleotides. RefSeq lists it as uncharacterized. The record is from RefSeq and is a predicted model, not a curated record. Lineage: Eukaryota; Metazoa; Mollusca; Bivalvia; Venerida; Veneridae. The transcript is spliced from 3 exons.
UAUCGUCUAACCUAACGCAUGAGUGGAUCAGGUAGUAAUUAUCUACAUUUCUUAAAGAUUAAACAACUAUCCUUGUUAUUCCAAUAAUAGGAUUUAUUUCACAAGGGUACAACUGUUGACAACAUGACAAGAUUGGUCUCUGUAAUUUUGGUUUUAGUAUGUCAGAUUGGAUUAUCAAUGCAGGCAUGUGCUGAAUGUGUAUGUUGUAAAGAAAACUUUACUUGUGAUUCCAACAAGAAUUGUAUCAAUGGUUGUAUUGACGGUUAUUAUGGUGCAAAAUGCACAGAGGUGUGUCUAGAAAAUUGUAAAACUUGUGUAAAUGGUAAUGAAUGUACAUAAUGUAAACCUGGUUAUUAUGCCUACAGAUGCAAUUUGCAAUGUGGGAAAGGGUGUCUAAACAAUACAUGUUCGUUAUCAUCAGGGGAAUGUGUUUGUAAAUCGUCUUAUUUUACUGGAAAUAAAUGUGAUGUUUGUGCAGGUUCAAUGUACGGUGAUAAAUGUAACAACACGUGUC